This 253-nucleotide ribosomal RNA is filed under the name uncultured bacterium. Its description in RNAcentral is "partial 16S ribosomal RNA". It matches the Rfam family "Bacterial small subunit ribosomal RNA", at positions 524 to 776 of the family's 1533-position model. The record is from RNAcentral.
UACGGAGGGUGCAAGCGUUAUCCGGAUUCACUGGGUUUAAAGGGUGCGUAGGUGGGCUGGUAAGUCAGUGGUGAAAUCUCCAGGCUUAACUUGGAAACUGCCAUUGAUACUAUCAGUCUUGAAUACCGUGGAGGUCAGCGGAAUAUGUCAUGUAGCGGUGAGAUGCUUAGAUAUGACAUAGAACACCAAUUGCGAAGGCAGCUGGCUACACGAAUAUUGACACUGAUGCACGAAAGCGUGGGGAUCAAACAGG